Molecule: ribosomal RNA, 515 nt
Filed under: uncultured bacterium
Lineage: Bacteria
Description: partial 16S ribosomal RNA
Rfam family: Bacterial small subunit ribosomal RNA
Source: RNAcentral
GAUGAACGCUGGCGGCGUGCCUAAUACAUGCAAGUCGAGCGAAUGGAUUAAGAGCUUGCUCUUAUGAAGUUAGCGGCGGACGGGUGAGUAACACGUGGGUAACCUGCCCAUAAGACCGGGAUAACUCCGGGAAACCGGGGCUAAUACCGGAUAACAUUUUGAACCGCAUGGUUCGAAAUUGAAAGGCGGCUUCGGCUGUCACUUAUGGAUGGACCCGUGUCGCAUUAGCUAGUUGGUGAGGUAACGGCUCACCAAGGCAACGAUGCGUAGCCGACCUGAGAGGGUGAUCGGCCACACUGAGACUGAGACACGGCCCAGACUCCUACGGGAGGCAGCAGUAGGGAAUCUUCCGCAAUGGACGAAAGUCUGACGGAGCAACGCCGCGUGAGUGAUGAAGGCUUUCGGGUCGUAAAACUCUGUUGUUAGGGAAGAACAAGCGCUAGUUGAAUAAGCUGGCACCUUGACGGUACCUAACCAGAAAGCCACGGCUAACUACGUGCCAGCAGCCGCGGUAA